ACCUCUUCCCAUCCCGAACAGAGAAGUUAAGCUCACCAACGCCGAUGGUACUGCUACACCAAGUGGGAGAGUAGGUAGCCGCCAACU
RNAcentral lists this ribosomal RNA (87 nucleotides) under Bacteroidales bacterium. The record is from RNAcentral. Lineage: Bacteria; Pseudomonadati; Bacteroidota; Bacteroidia; Bacteroidales.